CCAGAUAGAUGACUAGUCGCUUUUAUAUGUAUUUAUGAAAGAGGAAAGUCCGGGCUCUACAAAGACACGGUGCCAGAUAACCUCUGGCGAGGGCGACCUCAGGGAUAGUGCCACAGAAAAUAUACCGCCUUAUCAAGGCAAGGGUGAAAAGGUGUGGUAAGAGCACACCGGUUUUUUGGUAACAAAGAACGCAUGGAAAACCCCACCGAGAGCAAGACCAAAUAGAGAUGGCGAUGUUUUAUAUUAAAACAAUAAUCGUCUUUGGUUAGCCAUCAGGGUUGGUUGCUUGAGCUAAAGGGAGACUUUUAGCCUAGAUAAAUGACUUGUUUAAAUGACAAAACCCGGCUUACAGUUUAUCUGGCAAA
This 365-nucleotide RNase P RNA is filed under the name Candidatus Pelagibacteraceae bacterium. RNAcentral's name for it is "RNase P RNA component class A". It matches the Rfam family "Bacterial RNase P class A". Rfam says of the family: Ribonuclease P (RNase P) is a ubiquitous endoribonuclease, found in archaea, bacteria and eukarya as well as chloroplasts and mitochondria. Its best characterised activity is the generation of mature 5'-ends of tRNAs by cleaving the 5'-leader elements of precursor-tRNAs. Cellular RNase Ps are ribonucleoproteins. Lineage: Bacteria; Pseudomonadati; Pseudomonadota; Alphaproteobacteria; Candidatus Pelagibacterales; Candidatus Pelagibacteraceae. The record is from RNAcentral.